UCGCGUCACGUGCAUGUGAGAUUAUAGC
Molecule: small RNA, 28 nt
Filed under: Bombyx mori (domestic silkworm)
Lineage: Eukaryota; Metazoa; Arthropoda; Insecta; Lepidoptera; Bombycidae
Description: ovarian small RNA-28793
Source: RNAcentral